Long non-coding RNA from Oncorhynchus tshawytscha (Chinook salmon), 1531 nucleotides. The record is from Ensembl. NCBI's taxonomy places the organism in Eukaryota, Metazoa, Chordata, Actinopteri, Salmoniformes, Salmonidae.
AGUGAGGAAGUUUGCAGAAGCUCUUGCAGACAGAAAGCAGCAAACGCCAAAGAUGAAGAGAAGGCUGUAUGGAUAGAAAAAGAGAGGGUGGGGAGAAAGGAGAGCGACGAGUUUAGGUUUCCUUUCUCUUCAGUCUUUCUGUCGUUUUUUUUGCGCGCGUUGUCUCUCUUCUCUUCUUCUCUCCCCAGUUUUUCUCAACCUGUUCAUCUCCAGAAUGGAUGGAAGGCUAGUCCUUACCAUCCUGGUCCUGUGUGUCAAGAAUGUUGUAACCUUUGAAAAUACGACAUCCACCUCCCAACCUCUCACACCAUCCAACUCCACUCCUGCUACCCCCGGUCCCACCACUUCCUGUGUGUGUAAUAUCUCCACUUCCUGUUCCCCUCCGACCAAGCCCAAGUCUCCGCCACCUGCGCUGGGUGUUGUCAAGAUCAACUGGCAAGCAAAGUCCUGUAAGGGGGACAUACACCUGUGUCUCCUCUUGGGUGGAGACACCUGUCUCUCCACCCAUUCCUUACCACUCUGCUUUAACAGUUGGGCCAAUCUUAGCCUUGAACUGGCAGAAUCGUGUGAGAGGAAGGGCUGCGGGGGCUCCGCUAAGUGGACUGAGACCCCUGCUAGCUCUGAGGGUUACCAGAUCGAUAGGGAUGGAAGGGUUACCAAUAACUCCUGUACAACACUGAUAAUCCAAUGCGAAGUCGUCCCAGAUCAGUUAGUGGGCUAUAAGGUGGUGACUGGACUGCUGUGUGUUCUGGUGCUGGUGGUGCUGAUGGUGCGUUUCGGGCAGCCCUCCCUCAAGGCCCUCCGUAAGAGAUGUGAGUCCCAGAGACCUGGGCCUGUAUCCACAAAGGGCCGCAGAGUAGAACUGCUGAUCUAGGACUUGUCCAUAUACUCAUAUACACGAUGAUCUAAAAGACCAAACUGAUCCUAGAUCAGCACUUCUACUCUGAGACGCUGUGUGGUAACGGGGCCCAGAUCUAAACACGAAACACAUGAACGCACAUUUAGGAUGACAACAAAGUACUUCAAUUACUGCAAUAAAGUACUUAAAGAAAAAGUCCCCAGUACUUUGACCAAUCCAAUAGCGUUUGAUCAAAUAAUGUGUCAUAAGGUCAUUUCAGAAAAGAAAAGGAUAUUGAUAUCAGGGUUGUUAUUGUUAUCGUGGCAUGUGGCAUUUAUUUUAUUCAUAUUAAGUUAGUUAUGGAUUAAGGUUUUUUUGUCACAACUGUGUCAUUGAGACAUGUUAUCUUGGUGUUGUGUGUUGGUAAUAUAACAUUAUAAAAUGACCUUUAAUCAACAUGUUAAUGUCUGUGAUUCAGUGUCAGACAAGAGACAGAGUCGGUGGAUCGGACCUACGCAGAGCCAAAGUGUCUCCUACCAUAGAGGGAAGGCUGGACUCCAACUUAACGACAACACAGACAAGAGACACUCCUACCCUGGUGAGGCACUCACACACACCCACUCAAACACACACACACACACACACACGCACGCGCGCACACACACACACACACACACACACACACACACCCAC